GCGCACGGCUGAGGAACACGUGACUAACCUACCCCGGUGUGGGGGAUAACGGGUCGAAAGACUCGCUAAUCCCGCAUACGAUCCGCCUCGGCGGAGGAAAGCCGUAAGGCGCACUGGGCGGGGGUCGCGUCCCAUUAGAUAGUUGGUGUGGUAAUGGCGCACCAAGUCGAUGAUGGGUCUCUGGUCUGAGAGGACGACCAGACAGAUUGGGACUGAGACACGGCCCAAACUCCUACGGGGGGCAGCAGCAAGGAAUUUUCGGCAAUGGGCGCAAGCCUGACCGAGCAACGCCGCGUGGAGGAUGACGGCUCUUGGGUUGUAAACUCCUUUUGGGGGGGACGAUAAUGACGGUACCCUCCGAAUCAGGCCCGGCUAACUACGUGCCAGCAGCCGCGGUAAUACGUAGGGGCCAAGCGUUGUCCGGAAUUACUGGGCGUAAAGCGUGGGUAGGUGGUCGGUGAUGUGCCGCGUGAAAGCGCCGGAGUAAUGCCGGCGAGGUCGCGGUAGACACACGGACUCGAGGCUCGCAGAGGAACGUGGAAUUCCCGGUGUAGUGGUGAAAUGCGUAGAUAUCGGGAGGAACACCAGUGGCGCAAGCGGCGUUCUGGGCGAGACCUGACACUGAGCCACGACGGCGUGGGGAGCAAACAGGAUUAGAUACCCUGGUAGUCCACGCAGUAAACGAUGCAUACCAGGUGUGGGAUGGCGUUCGCGUCGUUCCGUGCCGCGGCUUACGCGAUGAGUAUGCCGCCUGGGGACUACGAGCGCAAGCUUAAAACUCAAAGGAAUUGACUGGGGCCCGCAC
Molecule: ribosomal RNA, 805 nt
Filed under: uncultured bacterium
Lineage: Bacteria
Description: bacterial SSU rRNA
Rfam family: Bacterial small subunit ribosomal RNA
Source: RNAcentral